This 70-nucleotide transfer RNA is filed under the name Dipodomys ordii (Ord's kangaroo rat). It matches the Rfam family "tRNA". Rfam says of the family: Transfer RNA (tRNA) molecules are approximately 80 nucleotides in length. Their secondary structure includes four short double-helical elements and three loops (D, anti-codon, and T loops). Lineage: Eukaryota; Metazoa; Chordata; Mammalia; Rodentia; Heteromyidae. The record is from Rfam by way of RNAcentral.
GGAGAUGUGGCUCAAUUGGUAGAGCAUUUGCCUGAGAAGCACAAGGCUCAGAGUUCACUCUCCAGUACUA